UGGGGAAUAUUGCACAAUGGGCGAAAGCCUGAUGCAGCAACGCCGCGUGAGUGAUGAAGGCCUUCGGGUUGUAAAGCUCUGUCUUUUGGGACGAUAAUGACGGUACCAAAGGAGGAAGCCACGGCUAACUACGUGCCAGCAGCCGCGGUAAUACGUAGGUGGCAAGCGUUGUCCGGAUUUACUGGGCGUAAAGGAUGCGUAGGCGGAUUUUUAAGUGAGAUGUGAAAACCCUAAGCUUAACUUGGGGACUGCAUUUCAUACUGGAAAUCUAGAGUGCGGGAGAGGAGAAUGGAAUUCCUAGUGUAGCGGUGAAAUGCGUAGAGAUUAGGAAGAACACCAGUGGCGAAGGCGAUUCUCUGGACCGUAACUGACGCUGAGGCAUGAAAGCGUGGGUAGCAAACAGGAUUAGAUACCCUGGUAGUCCACGCCGUAAACGAUGAGUACUAGGUGUAGGAGGUAUCGACCCCUUCUGUGCCGCAGUUAACACAAUAAGUACUCCGCCUGGGAAGUACGAUCGCAAGAUUAAAACUUAAAGGAAUUGACGGGGGUCAUAGCUGUUUCCU
Molecule: ribosomal RNA, 563 nt
Filed under: uncultured bacterium
Lineage: Bacteria
Description: partial 16S ribosomal RNA
Rfam family: Bacterial small subunit ribosomal RNA
Source: RNAcentral